Molecule: long non-coding RNA, 790 nt
Organism: Columba livia (rock pigeon)
Lineage: Eukaryota; Metazoa; Chordata; Aves; Columbiformes; Columbidae
Exons: 2
Source: RefSeq, a predicted model, not a curated record
AUGGGAUUUUUUGGGGGAAAUGGGGGUUUUGGGGGAGGAAAUAGUGAAAUUUGGGGGGAAAUGAGGAUUUUUGAGGUGAAAUUUGGGGGAAACAAUUAUGAUUUUUAGGUGAAAUUUGGGGCAAAACAUGAAGAUUUUUUAGGUGAAAUUUUGGGGGAAAAUGAAGAUUUUUAAGGUGAAAUUUUGGGGCAAAAAUGAGGAUUUUUAGGUGAAUUUUUUUGGGAAAAAUUACAAUUUUUUCGGUGAAAUUUGGGGGGAAAAUCACGAUUUUUUCGGUGAAAUUUGGGGCAGAAAAUGAGGAUUUUUAAGGUGAAAUUUGGGGUGAAAAAUAUAAUUUUUGGAGUGAAAUUUGGGGGAAAAUGUGAAAUUUGGGGGAAAAUUACAGUUUUUCGGUGAAAUUUUAGGGGAAAUGAGGAAUAUUUUUAGGUCAAAUUUGGGGGGAAAAUGAGGAGUUUUAGGUGAAAUUUGGGGGAAAUUGUGAAAUUUGGGGGGAAAAAAAUCACCAUUUUUUGAGUGAAAUUUGGGGGAAAAUGUGAAAUUUGGGAGAAAAAUUAGAAUUUUUCUCUGAAAUUUUGGGGGAAAUUUGGAAUUUUUUAAAUUUGGGGGGAAAUGACGAUUUUGAGGUGAAAUUUGGGGCAAAAAUGAGGAUUUUUUUAGGUGAAAUUUGGGGGAAAUUGUCAAAUUUGGGGGAAAUUAGGAGGUUUUAGGUGAAAUUUGGGGUGAAAAAUGACAACUUUUUAGGCGAAAUUUGGGGGAAAUUACAAUUUUAAGGUGAAAUUUGGGGCAAAAA